UAUCGCAGAAAGCACAACAUAAGCAUUGACAAAAAGCAUCAAAUGCACAUGUGUUCAGCACAGAGAUUCUUGAUUUCCCAAUUUUAACAGGCUGUUGAUUAUUUCCAUUUUUCAACAGUUCCACUUUUAGUUUUUUCCCUUUCACAGAUGAAUCUGCAUGGAGCCAUUCAGGACAGGGAGAGAGGUAUGAACUCAUCUUCCUCUUUUUGGGUGGAACUGCUAGGCCUCUCCAGUUUUCAACCGCAUCUUCAUCGGCUGGAUGGAUGUUUAUGACAGCAUCAGAGGUCUCAGAACAGGAAGCAUCCAUUUCUGGCUUUACAUCUACACUGCAAGUUGUGAACAAAUUCGCAUGUUGCCUUCAAUGAAGGACAGAUGUUGAGCAAUGAAUCUAUCCACCCUAAUUGGCAAGUUUUCAUGCUUGAAAAGGCCGCGCUUGAUGUUUUUGAAUUCUGCUUCAACAUUGGCUGAACUUGCGGUAAUGUUGGUGCUUCGGAAGUGAGGGACCAUUACUGCUGUCCAGAGUGGCAAGUAACUUGCAAGCCAGAUUAUAUUAGGAAUAAUCUCAGGGAGGAAGUGCAUAUUAUCGUGAUCACCAUUACCGCUGGCAAGCGACCUGCUCUCUUCACAUAUGUCUAUGACCCACUGCCGUAGGUCUGUCUGUGUUUGGUCACAUGGAUCCUCUUCUCCCAGGUCCUUGCCCUCUAGAUCUGGGAUGAUGGCACACUCUUCUGCAAUCCGGGAUUUCAGCAGCCCCACUGGCAGAUCGUCUUGAUGCAGUGUGCAACAUCAACCCGAACAAAACAAGGUGGCACUUUUGCUGACUGUUUACCAAGUAAGACACCACAACACUCAUUGAUGUAGCUCUUCAGAUCAGGAUAUGGAGUGAAAGACUUGACCAGAGCUCCGAGCAAAGCUAGAGAAAAGUCACUCACAACCUCUUUUGGAGUUGGUGCACCUGCACGUAUCCACUCUUUCAACCAAUGUGUUAUUGCAUUAACAUCAUGUCUCUCUGACAGCAUUUGCACCACUGGGACACUAGAGCUCUCCUCUCCUGCCAGAACUCCCUGAUAUAAAAAGAUAUGGCCAGACAUGCCAGUUGGUCUUGUUAGUUUCCUCACUACUGAGCCAGUUGCAUCAAAACUGACAGUGGGGGUGGCCAAAUUAGGGAGAUGACUUGGCUCAGGAUCUCCAAAAUCCAUCAGUUUUGUUGCCUCUGUUGCCCUCCAGACAUGGGGUUCCAUUCUACCCUCACACAGUUCUUUGGCUAUCUGCACACGCAAAUUACCAGACAUUGCACGCUUUGAACCACCAGUGUGCAGGGAGUUAUUUGUGUUUUUAAUUAAACACUUAAACACCAUUGGGCUGUUUAUUUCAGGCUUUUUGUCGCAUUUCAUGUGAAUCAGGCCAUUGCACUCCUUACAGUUACCUCUGAUUUCAAUGUAUUUCUCUGUGGCUGAUGGAUAGACCUUGGCUCUUUUAAAGGCAAAAGUGCAGGUGCUUUUCACCUCUUGCCAAAUGUAAUGAUUUAUCACAUGUGUCCAGUUGCCAGGCUUCAAAACUGUGUAUUCCCUUUUUUGUGUUUUACUGAACUUGUUUUUGUAUUCAACCGUUUCAGGGAUGAAUUCAAUCCAUUUCUGAAAUGGAACUUCAAGACCAAAAGCCCAGCAAUCUUUUGGUCUUUGGGAAAGGGACCCUGGCUCAAAAUCAGUGUCAUCACUACUGCCACUUGCUUCAUGAUCACUUUCAUAAGUAAACUCUAAAGCAGCCCAGAUGUUGUGUCUGUUUAAUUUAACAAACGUGUAUAGCGCCUUUGGGGUGAUCUUGUUUUCUAGCUGCUUACUAAGCUCUGUCCAGAUGCUCUGACUGGGAGUAGCUAUGUUGCCAUUUUGGACUAUGGCCUCUUUUGAUAAACACAGCACCGUGAAAAUGGACUCCUUGUCAACCACUGGUUUCUUGGGCAUCUGGCAUAAGCAAAACAUAAUUACUUAAUGUCAUAGAGUAAACUUGUUUUCAUAUUUUACUGUAUGGGUCUGAAUAUUUGUAUAAUUUAAUAUAGUUAUAACAUAAUGUAUCCUAUAUUAGGACAUAUGGUAGAUGCACAACGUAUUUAAAUACCCAAAAUAGGUGACAUGAGUUUUCUGUUCAACACACAUUGACAAUCUUAGCUCUUUUGAAUGUUGUACCAUUAUCCUUGAACUUAGCUUAUAAUAUUGUUACUGACAGUGUUAAAACAUACUUACAUUGGCCAGAAAAUAUAUUUCCUCCACCAACUCUAGACUGGUUUAGAGCCUCUUACGCGCCUAGUGUUAGGAGUAGUGUUGCAAGUGAUAGGGUGGAGUGGGGAGAGCGCCCCCUUGAGGCAAAAGCAAAUGGCUGGCUGAAUUCAGAAUCGCAUUUGAACAUGCAUUAUUUAUAUUAUUUGUACCAUGGGCAUCUUUGCUUUGUUACUUAUAUGUGAGGGAAGUAGCAUAAAUCCAAUCGCAAGUGAUCAUCACGAGGCGAAUCAUGCACCUGAAUGUGUCUUAGAAACAAGUUUGUAUAGUGUUUAUAAUCUAUGCUAUUAGUAGGUGGAGGUAAAUGCACUAUUUUCAGAGCACAUUUCAAUUUUAGAGAAUAAAAAUGACUCGCUGUGACUUAGCAGUAGAGAUUUUAUUUUUUUCUUUAAAAACAAAAAUCACAAUUCUUUCCAAAAUUUUCUUUACAAUACCAAAAGGAAAAACAAAAAAGACUUGGUAGUUAUAUUUACGUUUCUGUGCACAAAUAUAUUAA
Molecule: long non-coding RNA, 2769 nt
Organism: Paramisgurnus dabryanus
Lineage: Eukaryota; Metazoa; Chordata; Actinopteri; Cypriniformes; Cobitidae
Source: RefSeq, a predicted model, not a curated record